RNAcentral lists this long non-coding RNA (237 nucleotides) under Trifolium pratense (red clover). RNAcentral's name for it is "long non-coding RNA (TPRA_LNC000691)". Lineage: Eukaryota; Viridiplantae; Streptophyta; Magnoliopsida; Fabales; Fabaceae. The record is from RNAcentral.
UUUAUUUUCAACUUCUUCUUUCCAAUUUGUUGUGUUCUUGCUCUCUCUGCGUUCGUUUCUUAAGCGUCUUCUUUCUUUUGCUGUGAGGAGUUCCUGUGGUGGUUGUUGUUGGGUGGAGGAGGUGGUGGUGGUGGUGGUUGAGGCUGAGAUUGUGAGAGGGUGGUUGGAGAAGGAGAGAGUGUGGAAGCGUGGUGGUGGAUUCCAUAGCUGAAGCGUAAGCACCCCUUUCAUCUUUCU